This 878-nucleotide ribosomal RNA is filed under the name Akanthomyces uredinophilus. RNAcentral describes it as "Lecanicillium uredinophilum partial large subunit ribosomal RNA". It matches the Rfam family "Eukaryotic large subunit ribosomal RNA", at positions 49 to 959 of the family's 3401-position model. Lineage: Eukaryota; Fungi; Ascomycota; Sordariomycetes; Hypocreales; Cordycipitaceae. The record is from RNAcentral.
AGCGGAGGAAAAGAAACCAACAGGGAUUGCCCCAGUAACGGCGAGUGAAGCGGCAACAGCUCAAAUUUGAAAUCUGGCCCUUGGGUCCGAGUUGUAAUUUGUAGAGGAUGCUUUUGGCGAGGUGCCUUCCGAGUUCCCUGGAACGGGACGCCAUAGAGGGUGAGAGCCCCGUCUGGUCGGACACCGAGCCUCUGUAAAGCUCCUUCGACGAGUCGAGUAGUUUGGGAAUGCUGCUCAAAAUGGGAGGUAUAUGUCUUCUAAAGCUAAAUAUUGGCCAGAGACCGAUAGCGCACAAGUAGAGUGAUCGAAAGAUGAAAAGCACUUUGAAAAGAGGGUUAAAAAGUACGUGAAAUUGUUGAAAGGGAAGCGCCUAUGACCAGACUUGGGCCCGGUGAAUCAUCCAGCGUUCUCGCUGGUGCACUUUGCCGGGCACAGGCCAGCAUCAGUUUGGCGCGGGGGAAAAAGGUUCUGGGAAUGUGGCUCCCUCGGGAGUGUUAUAGCCCAUUGCGUAAUACCCUGCGCCGGACUGAGGUACGCGCAUUGCAAGGAUGCUGGCGUAAUGGUCAUCAGCGACCCGUCUUGAAACACGGACCAAGGAGUCGUCUUCGUAUGCGAGUGUUCGGGUGUCAAACCCCUACGCGUAAUGAAAGUGAACGCAGGUGAGAGCUUCGGCGCAUCAUCGACCGAUCCUGAUGUUCUCGGAUGGAUUUGAGUAAGAGCAUACGGGGCCGGACCCGAAAGAAGGUGAACUAUGCCUGUAUAGGGUGAAGCCAGAGGAAACUCUGGUGGAGGCUCGCAGCGGUUCUGACGUGCGAAUCGAUCGUCAAAUAUGGGCAUGGGGGCGAAAGACUAAUCGAACCUUCUAGUAGCUGGUUCGC